Callithrix jacchus (white-tufted-ear marmoset) is the source of this 1275-nucleotide long non-coding RNA. RefSeq lists it as uncharacterized. Lineage: Eukaryota; Metazoa; Chordata; Mammalia; Primates; Cebidae. The record is from RefSeq and is a predicted model, not a curated record.
CCCCACAUUGUGCUCGUGGUAAUGGAGAGGUUUCACUAGAUCUGAUGGUUUUACAAGGGGAAAUGCUUAUAAAACUUGGUUCUAAUUCUCUCUCUUGCCCUGGCCACGUGCCUUUCAUCUUCCACCACGCCUGUGAGGCCUCCCCAGCCACACCAAACUAAAGGUAUCUCAAGUUCGACUCCACCACCCCCACUUGGUAUCCCACUGCUGGAGACCCAGCUCAGCCUGGGGUUGUUUGUUACAGAGGAGUGAGCUGCAUGGGCAGAAGUUAGACGGCUGGUAUGUAGGAGGGCAGUCUGACUCGACAGCCCAUGCCCUCAGCCACAAAGCUAAGCUGUCUCCAAAAGCAUCAGAGUAACCACACAGACAUCAGGACAAUCUUGUCACCAGGUGUGCAGCGGAGGAGCACCGAAUCAGGAGGCAGAGGGCCUUGCUCUCUAACACUGUGUUUCACGGAACAUAAGAACCCAUCCACUGUAAGAUGCACCAUUAUUAUUCUUAUACCGCGAAGAAAGGUGAAAGACUGCCAAUCAAACUAUGACACUGAAGUCAAAAGCCAUCAAUGAUAAGACAAUCCUGACCUCAGUUCAGCUGUCGGGGAGAAAUGUGCAUCUUGGAACCCAUUAAAUAUGAUUUCACUCUUAAUUACAUUGAACAAGUCAUUUAACCUGGAGCCCAGUUUCUAUAUCUACAAAGUAGGGGGCUGGAUAUGGUGAUUACUAAGAUCCCUUCCAGUCUGACAACGUUAGAUAGAUAGAACAGAGGGGAGGAGAAUGAAGUGACUCGGGCUCAAAAUUUAACCACUCUCAGCGUGGUGCAAACAGAGGAUGGGCCCUGAGAGUCGGUGCCUCCUUAGUCUGUAUCCUAGCAACCUUAAUUGCCUCAUUAGUAGGGGCCUUGAUAAUGAAUGCAAUGUGGGAUUGAGACAGUUUGUCUUUGGGGUUUUCCUACCAAGAUCUUUUCACGAUAAUCUGUCCACACUUCAGACCAACUUUUUCCAACUACUUUCAUGUUUCCUAGCAAGAUGUAUUUCCUUCACUUGCAGCAUUUCUUUCAUUUCUAUUCCCUCCCUAGCUUCUCAUUUCUAUUAAAAUGCCAAAUUCCUAGUUAGUUUAGCUAGCUCUUCACUUCUUUUUUUUAGACGGAGUUUUGCUGUUGUUACCCAGGCUGGAGUGCAAUGGCACGAUCUCGGCUCACCGCAACCUCUGCCUCCUGGGUUCAAGCAAUUCUCCUGCCUCAGCCUCCCGAGUAGCUGGGACUACAGGCACGCACCAC